CUGGGGAGUACGGUCGCAAGAUUAAUACUCAAAGGAAUAGACGGGGACCCCGCACAAGCGGUGGAGCAUGUGGUUUAAUUCGAAGAUACGCGAAAAACCUUACCUGGCCUUGACAUUGAUAGAAUCCUGUAGAGAUACGGGAGUGCCGGCUUGCCGGAACUUGAAAACAGGUGCUGCACGGCUGUCGUCAGCUCGUGUCGUGAGAUGUUGGGUUAAGUCCCGCAACGAGCGCAACCCACGUCCUUAGUUGCCAGCAUUUCGGAUGGGAACUCUAAGGAGACUGCCUUCGCAAGGAGGAGGAAGGUGUGGACGACGUCAAGUCAUCAUGGCCCUUACGGCCAGGGCUACACACGUGCUACAAUGGGGCGUACAAAGAGCAGCAAUACCGCGAGGUGGAGCAAAUCUCAAAAACGCCUCCCAGUUCAGAUUGCACUCUGCAACUCGAGUGCAUGAAGUUGGAAUCGCUAGUAAUCGUAGAUCAGCAUUGCUACGGUGAAUACGUUCCCGGGUCUUGUACUCACCGCCCGUCACACCAUGGGAGUUGAUUUCACCCGAAGCGGGGAUGCCAAAGUAGCUACCUUUCACGGUGUAAUCAGCGAGUGGGGUGAAGUCGUAA
This 616-nucleotide ribosomal RNA is filed under the name uncultured Campylobacterota bacterium. RNAcentral's name for it is "bacterial SSU rRNA". It matches the Rfam family "Bacterial small subunit ribosomal RNA", at positions 873 to 1491 of the family's 1533-position model. The record is from RNAcentral. Lineage: Bacteria; Pseudomonadati; Campylobacterota.